GCAGUCGAACGAACUCUGGUAUUGAUUGGUGCUUGCAUCAUGAUUUACAUUUGAGUGAGUGGCGAACUGGUGAGUAACACGUGGGAAACCUGCCCAGAAGCGGGGGAUAACACCUGGAAACAGAUGCUAAUACCGCAUAACAACUUGGACCGCAUGGUCCGAGUUUGAAAGAUGGCUUCGGCUAUCACUUUUGGAUGGUCCCGCGGCGUAUUAGCUAGAUGGUGAGGUAACGGCUCACCAUGGCAAUGAUACGUAGCCGACCUGAGAGGGUAAUCGGCCACAUUGGGACUGAGACACGGCCCAAACUCCUACGGGAGGCAGCAGUAGGGAAUCUUCCACAAUGGACGAAAGUCUGAUGGAGCAACGCCGCGUGAGUGAAGAAGGGUUUCGGCUCGUAAAACUCUGUUGUUAAAGAAGAACAUAUCUGAGAGUAACUGUUCAGGUAUUGACGGUAUUUAACCAGAAAGCCACGGCUAACUACGUGCCAGCAGCCGCGGUAAUACGUAGGUGGCAAGCGUUGUCCGGAUUUAUUGGGCGUAAAGCGAGCGCAGGCGGUUUUUUAAGUCUGAUGUGAAAGCCUUCGGCUCAACCGAAGAAGUGCAUCGGAAACUGGGAAACUUGAGUGCAGAAGAGGACAGUGGAACUCCAUGUGUAGCGGUGAAAUGCGUAGAUAUAUGGAAGAACACCAGUGGCGAAGGCGGCUGUCUGGUCUGUAACUGACGCUGAGGCUCGAAAGUAUGGGUAGCAAACAGGAUUAGAUACCCUGGUAGUCCAUACCGUAAACGAUGAAUGCUAAGUGUUGGAGGGUUUCCGCCCUUCAGUGCUGCAGCUAACGCAUUAAGCAUUCCGCCUGGGGAGUACGGCCGCAAGGCUGAAACUCAAAGGAAUUGACGGGGGCCCGCACAAGCGGUGGAGCAUGUGGUUUAAUUCGAAGCUACGCGAAGAACCUUACCAGGUCUUGACAUACUAUGCAAAUCUAAGAGAUUAGACGUUCCCUUCGGGGACAUGGAUACAGGUGGUGCAUGGUUGUCGUCAGCUCGUGUCGUGAGAUGUUGGGUUAAGUCCCGCAACGAGCGCAACCCUUAUUAUCAGUUGCCAGCAUUAAGUUGGGCACUCUGGUGAGACUGCCGGUGACAAACCGGAGGAAGGUGGGGAUGACGUCAAAUCAUCAUGCCCCUUAUGACCUGGGCUACACACGUGCUACAAUGGAUGGUACAACGAGUUGCGAACUCGCGAGAGUAAGCUAAUCUCUUAAAGCCAUUCUCAGUUCGGAUUGUAGGCUGCAACUCGCCUACAUGAAGUCGGAAUCGCUAGUAAUCGCGGAUCAGCAUGCCGCGGUGAAUACGUUCCCGGGCCUUGUACACACCGCCCGUCACACCAUGAGAGUUUGUAACACCCAAAGUCGGUGGG
This 1410-nucleotide ribosomal RNA is filed under the name Enterococcus faecium. RNAcentral's name for it is "bacterial SSU rRNA". It matches the Rfam family "Bacterial small subunit ribosomal RNA", at positions 57 to 1434 of the family's 1533-position model. The record is from RNAcentral. RNAcentral also lists the same sequence under 1 other name. Lineage: Bacteria; Bacillati; Bacillota; Bacilli; Lactobacillales; Enterococcaceae.